UGCGGAGGAUCAUUAUUGAAACUUCUGGGGGAGCGGGCCUCGGCCAGCACCGGUGGCGACGCCGUGUUGCGGUCGGACCCGCGCCCUCUUCCAAACCCAAACACCUGUGAACCUUUGGGAGGGCGGUUGUAGCGACCGCUCUCCCGUUUUAACAACUCUGAUGUCUAUUUGAAUGUGAUUCGGGGCAGCCCCGAUUAAAACUUUGUAACAACUUUCAACAACGGAUCUCUUGGCUCUCGCAUCGAUGAAGAACGCAGCGAAAUGCGAUAAGUAAUGUGAAUUGCAGAAUUCAGUGAAUCAUCGAAUCUUUGAACGCACCUUGCGCCCCUUGGUAUUCCGAGGGGCAUGCCUGUUUGAGUGUCUUGAAAUCAUCAAACCGAACCGGUCUUUGUUGCCGGCGCGGUUUGGAAUUGGGGGUUUCUUUGCUGGCCGCUCGCGGUUGGCUCCCCUUAAAUCGAUCGGUCGGGCUUUCGUGCGGCUCUGUCCCUUGGCGUUGUAUUACCCUCGUCGCUGGAUGGCUCGCGAUAAUGCGCCCUUCUCUGACUUGCCUCUGGAGUGGCGGUCUUCAACAUUUUGUGAUCUGACCUCAAAUCAGGUAGGACUACCCGCUGAACUUAAGCAUAUCAAUAAGCGGAGGAAAAGAAACUAACAAGGAUUCCCCUAGUAACUGCGAGUGAAGCGGGAAAAGCUCAAAUUUGAAAUCUGGCGGUUACGCCGUCCGAGUUGUAUUCUGGAGAAGCGUUUUCCGUGCUGGACCGUGUACAAGUCUCC
RNAcentral lists this ribosomal RNA (771 nucleotides) under uncultured Trechisporales. RNAcentral describes it as "eukaryotic LSU rRNA". The stretch from base 210 to 363 matches the Rfam family "5.8S ribosomal RNA". Lineage: Eukaryota; Fungi; Basidiomycota; Agaricomycetes; Trechisporales. The record is from RNAcentral.